AGACACUCCUCCCCCCGGGACAUCCCGGCAUCCGACAAGAAUAAUCAUAUUUUAUUAUAUGAUACAAAAUCAAAGCCUCGACAGACCCUACAUUAAUCAUCAGAUGAAGUCACGAAGCAGAGUUGAGUUCCUCUUGUAUUUUUAAGUGUUCGGCGUUGUUGAAGUAUUUAAAUACAGAAAAAUGGGACGUGGUGAGGUGACAUGUUACCCGCUGAGGACCAAACAAGGUAACAGAGACAACACGGAAAAGAGGACGGGACAGCGAAAUGACCAAGACACAGUGUCAUCAAAGCCUGGUCAUCCGCCAACAAUAACGUUUAACGACGCCGAUCCAUCCCUGGACAACUCCACAUCAUCCCAUCAGGAAUCAGCUGCACCCAAUCAUUGGUUACUUCAGUCACAUCUUUGCCCGUCUCCAGCUUGGUGUUACAUUCCAGAGGCUUCUCAAUCACAUUCCCUGCUUUA
This is a long non-coding RNA of Oreochromis niloticus (Nile tilapia), 465 nucleotides long. RefSeq lists it as uncharacterized. The record is from RefSeq and is a predicted model, not a curated record. The transcript has 3 exons. Lineage: Eukaryota; Metazoa; Chordata; Actinopteri; Cichliformes; Cichlidae.